RNAcentral lists this transfer RNA (71 nucleotides) under Microhierax erythrogenys (Philippine falconet). Its description in RNAcentral is "tRNA-Gln". It matches the Rfam family "tRNA". From Rfam's summary of the family: Transfer RNA (tRNA) molecules are approximately 80 nucleotides in length. Their secondary structure includes four short double-helical elements and three loops (D, anti-codon, and T loops). Lineage: Eukaryota; Metazoa; Chordata; Aves; Falconiformes; Falconidae. The record is from RNAcentral.
UAGGAAGUAAUAUAGUGGGAGUAUGGAGGGUUUUGAUCUCUUCUGAAUAGGUUCGAUUCCUAUCUUCCUAA